UUACCUGGUUUGAUCCUGCCAGUAGUCAUAUGCUUGUCUCAAAGAUUAAGCCAUGCAUGUCUAAGUACAGGCCGAAUUAAGGCGAAACCGCGAAUGGCUCAUUAAAUCAGUUAUGGUUCAUUGGAUCUUACCUUGUCCUACUUGGAUAACUGUGGUAAUUCUAGAGCUAAUACAUGCAAGCAAGCCCCGACCGGCGACGGGAAGGGCGCUUUUAUUAGAUCAAAACCAAUCGGGCUCUCGGGCCCGUUCCUCAGUGGUGACUCUGAAUAACUUUGUGCUGAGCGCAUGGUCUCGUACCGGCGCCGCAUCCUUCAAGUGUCUGCCUUAUCAGCUUUCGAUUGUAGGUUAUGCGCCUACAAUGGCUAUAACGGGUAACGGGGAAUCAGGGUUCGAUUCCGGAGAGGGAGCCUGAGAGACGGCUACCACAUCUAAGGAAGGCAGCAGGCACGCAAAUUACCCACUCCCGGCACGGGGAGGUAGUGACGAAAAAUAACGAUGCGGGACUCAUCCGAGGCCUCGCAAUCGGAAUGAGUACACUUUAAAUCCUUUAACGAGGAUCUAUUGGAGGGCAAGUCUGGUGCCAGCAGCCGCGGUAAUUCCAGCUCCAAUAGCGUAUAUUAAAGUUGCUGCGGUUAAAAAGCUCGUAGUUGGAUUCGAGUCACGGAGCGAGGGUUCACCGCCCGGUGCUUACUCUCCGCCAUCCGGACGUUGAUGUCGGCGUGGCACGGGGUGCUCUUCACCGAGUGUCCCGGCGCCGCCGACGAGUUUACUUUGAAAAAAUUAGAGUGCUCAGAGCAGGCUCAACUGAUGCCUGAAUAGUUGUGCAUGGAAUAAUGGAAUAGGACCUCGGUUCUAUUUUCCGUUGGUUUUCGGAACCCGAGGUAAUGACUAAUAGGAACAGUCGGGGGCAUUCGUAUUGCGACGUUAGAGGUGAAAUUCUUGGAUCGUCGCAAGACGAACUACUGCGAAAGGAUUUGCCAAGAAUGUUUUCAUUAAUCAAGAACGAAAGUUAGAGGUUCGAAGGCGAUCAGAUACCGCCCUAGUUCUAACCAUAAACGAUGCCAACUAGCGAUCCGCCGGCGUUAUUCCCAUGACUCGGCGGGCAGCUUCCGGGAAACCAAAGUUUUUGGGUUCCGGGGGAAGUAUGGUUGCAAAGCUGAAACUUAAAGGAAUUGACGGAAGGGCACCACCAGGAGUGGAGCCUGCGGCUUAAUUUGACUCAACACGGGGAACCUCACCAGGCCCGGACACCGAAAGGAUUGACAGAUUGAGAGCUCUUUCUCGAUUCGGUGGGUGGUGGUGCAUGGCCGUUCUUAGUUGGUGGAGCGAUUUGUCUGGUUAAUUCCGAUAACGAACGAGACUCAAA
RNAcentral lists this ribosomal RNA (1366 nucleotides) under Gallobathynella boui. Its description in RNAcentral is "SSU rRNA". It matches the Rfam family "Eukaryotic small subunit ribosomal RNA", at positions 1 to 1346 of the family's 1831-position model. Lineage: Eukaryota; Metazoa; Arthropoda; Malacostraca; Bathynellacea; Bathynellidae. The record is from RNAcentral.